This 61-nucleotide ribosomal RNA is filed under the name Puccinia coronata. Its description in RNAcentral is "partial 28S ribosomal RNA". The record is from RNAcentral. Lineage: Eukaryota; Fungi; Basidiomycota; Pucciniomycetes; Pucciniales; Pucciniaceae.
UAAGACCUCAAAUCAGGUGGGAGCUACCCGCUGAAGCUUAAGCAUAUCAAUAAGCGGAGGA